GCCUCUGUAGCUUAAUACACAAAAGCAUAACAUUGAAGCUGUUAAGAUGACAGACGUCCGGAAGCA
Molecule: transfer RNA, 66 nt
Filed under: Sipunculus nudus (marine worm)
Lineage: Eukaryota; Metazoa; Annelida; Sipuncula; Golfingiida; Sipunculidae
Description: tRNA-Phe
Rfam family: tRNA
About the family: Transfer RNA (tRNA) molecules are approximately 80 nucleotides in length. Their secondary structure includes four short double-helical elements and three loops (D, anti-codon, and T loops). Further hydrogen bonds mediate the characteristic L-shaped molecular structure. tRNAs have two regions of fundamental functional importance: the anti-codon, which is responsible for specific mRNA codon recognition, and the 3' end, to which the tRNAs corresponding amino acid is attached (by aminoacyl-tRNA synthetases). tRNAs cope with the degeneracy of the genetic code in two manners: having more than one tRNA (with a specific anti-codon) for a particular amino acid; and 'wobble' base-pairing, i.e. permitting non-standard base-pairing at the 3rd anti-codon position.
Source: RNAcentral